AGAAGUAGGUAGCUUAACCGUAAGGAGGGCGCUUACCACGGUAGGAUUCGUGACUGGGGUGAAGUCGUAACAAGGUAGCCGUAUCGGAAGGUGCGGCUGGAUCACCUCCUUUCUAGAGUG
RNAcentral lists this ribosomal RNA (120 nucleotides) under Pseudoduganella danionis. RNAcentral describes it as "partial 16S ribosomal RNA". It matches the Rfam family "Bacterial small subunit ribosomal RNA", at positions 1422 to 1533 of the family's 1533-position model. Lineage: Bacteria; Pseudomonadati; Pseudomonadota; Betaproteobacteria; Burkholderiales; Oxalobacteraceae. The record is from RNAcentral.